AUUGAACGCUGGCGGCAUGCCUUACACAUGCAAGUCGAACGGCAGCACGGGAGCAAUCCUGGUGGCGAGUGGCGAACGGGUGAGUAAUGUAUCGGAACGUGCCCAGUCGUGGGGGAUAACGUAGCGAAAGCUACGCUAAUACCGCAUACGAUCUGCGGAUGAAAGCGGGGGAACGGACGGCCUCGCUCGAUUGGAGCGGCCGAUAUCAGAUUAGGUAGUUGGUGGGGGAAAGGCCUACCAAGCCGACGAUCUGUUGCUGGGUCUGAGAGGACGACCAGCCACACUGGGACUGAGACACGGCCCAGACUCCUACGGGAGGCAGCAGUGGGGAAUUUUGGACAAUGGGCGCAAGCCUGAUCCAGCAAUGCCGCGUGCAGGAUGAAGGCCUUCGGGUUGUAAACUGCUUUUGUACGGAGCGAAAAGGCUCUCUCUAAUACAGGGGGCUCAUGACGGUACCGUAAGAAUAAGCACCGGCUAACUACGUGCCAGCCGCCGCGGUAA
This 501-nucleotide ribosomal RNA is filed under the name uncultured bacterium. Its description in RNAcentral is "partial 16S ribosomal RNA". It matches the Rfam family "Bacterial small subunit ribosomal RNA", at positions 29 to 523 of the family's 1533-position model. The record is from RNAcentral.